CGGACGGGUGAGUAAUGCCUAGGAAUCUGCCUGGUAGUGGGGGACAACGUUUCGAAAGGAACGCAAUACCGCAUACGCCUACGGGAGAAAGCAGGGGACCUUCGGGCCUUGCGCUAUCAGAUGAGCCUAGGUCGGAUUAGCUAGUUGGUGAGGUAAUGGCUCACCAAGGCGACGAUCCGUAACUGGUCUGAGAGGAUGAUCAGUCACACUGGAACUGAGACACGGUCCAGACUCCUACGGGAGGCAGCAGUC
Molecule: ribosomal RNA, 252 nt
Filed under: uncultured Pseudomonas sp.
Lineage: Bacteria; Pseudomonadati; Pseudomonadota; Gammaproteobacteria; Pseudomonadales; Pseudomonadaceae
Description: partial 16S ribosomal RNA
Rfam family: Bacterial small subunit ribosomal RNA
Source: RNAcentral